AUCCAGCGGGCGAGUCCUAAAUGGGACGAAACGCGCGUUUUGUAU
RNAcentral lists this non-coding RNA (45 nucleotides) under Schistosoma mattheei. The record is from RNAcentral. Lineage: Eukaryota; Metazoa; Platyhelminthes; Trematoda; Strigeidida; Schistosomatidae.